Molecule: ribosomal RNA, 633 nt
Filed under: uncultured Bacteroidales bacterium
Lineage: Bacteria; Pseudomonadati; Bacteroidota; Bacteroidia; Bacteroidales
Description: bacterial SSU rRNA
Rfam family: Bacterial small subunit ribosomal RNA
Source: RNAcentral
UUGGUGGCGACCGGCGCACGGGUGAGUAACGCGUAUGCAACCCACCUAUCAGAGGGGGAUAACCCGGCGAAAGUCGGACUAAUACCGCAUAAAACAGGGGCACCGCAUGGUGAUAUUUGUUAAAAAUUUAUUGCUGAUAGAUGGGCAUGCGUUCCAUUAGGUAGUUGGAGAGGUAACGGCUCACCAAGCCUACGAUGGAUAGGGGAACUGAGAGGUUGGUCCCCCACACUGGUACUGAGACACGGACCAGACUCCUACGGGAGGCAGCAGUGAGGAAUAUUGGUCAAUGGGCGAGAGCCUGAACCAGCCAAGUCGCGUGAAGGAAGAAGGAUCUAUGGUUCGUAAACUUCUUUUGCAGGGGAAUAAAGUGCAGGACGUGUCCUGUUUUGUAUGUACCCUGAGAAUAAGGAUCGGCUAACUCCGUGCCAGCAGCCGCGGUAAUACGGAGGAUCCGAGCGUUAUCCGGAUUUAUUGGGUUUAAAGGGUGCGUAGGUGGUUUAAUAAGUCAGCGGCGAAAGUUUGCAGCUUAACUGUAAAAAUGCCGUUGAAACUGUUAGACUUGAGUGUAAAUGAGGUAGGCGGAAUGCGUGGUGUAGCGGUGAAAUGCUUAGAUAUCACGAAGAACUCCGAUUG